GAAAUUUAGGAUAAUGCAAGACCAAAGGCCUUCAAAGCCUUAAGUAGGAGUUUGACCCUCCUAAUUUCUGU
Molecule: transfer RNA, 71 nt
Rfam family: tRNA
About the family: Transfer RNA (tRNA) molecules are approximately 80 nucleotides in length. Their secondary structure includes four short double-helical elements and three loops (D, anti-codon, and T loops).